Loxodonta africana (African savanna elephant) is the source of this 71-nucleotide transfer RNA. It matches the Rfam family "tRNA". From Rfam's summary of the family: Transfer RNA (tRNA) molecules are approximately 80 nucleotides in length. Their secondary structure includes four short double-helical elements and three loops (D, anti-codon, and T loops). NCBI's taxonomy places the organism in Eukaryota, Metazoa, Chordata, Mammalia, Proboscidea, Elephantidae. The record is from Rfam.
GCAGUGAUGGUUCAGUGGUAGAAUUCUCGCCUUCCAUGUGGGAGACCCAGGUUCAAUUCCAGGCCUAUGCA